Mus musculus (house mouse) is the source of this 788-nucleotide long non-coding RNA. RefSeq annotates it as predicted gene, 30058. The record is from RefSeq and is a predicted model, not a curated record. NCBI's taxonomy places the organism in Eukaryota, Metazoa, Chordata, Mammalia, Rodentia, Muridae. The transcript is spliced from 2 exons.
GAGCAGUAUCCGUCAGCCAGCUCUUUGCAAAGACUGGGGUCCUUAGUGGCCUCCAACAGAGCCCAAGUCUUCUCUCUCAGAGGCUCUGCAGGAUGAUCCAUGAGGCAGUUCUGGGACAACACCUGUGUGCCACCUUUGGGGAACUCUCCAGGCCCUGGCCUCCCUUCAGAGCUCCUCUACAUCUGAACAUGUCCAGAUUUCUCCAGCUCUGGGCCUCAGAACCAUGAAUACACCUCCCUGAGGAAACAUUUGAAUUCUGGGCUUCUGUCAGGCUACUUGCCCAGAGAGGCAUUUCCUCAGGUCCCCAAGACCAUACGUGUGCUCUUAUGGUCAAUGUUCAUCUGUCUCAGGCAACCCCGCUCCCCCAUAUACCUGCAGUCCCUGCAUGACUGAGAUACCAAGUGCUGUGAAUGAGGUUUCUUAAAGAGAAAAAUCCAUUGUUAACAUUUGACUACGGUAGAAAUAGAAAACAGAGGCGGCAAAUCGGUACCUGCUGGGCCACAGUAAUGUUUUGUUGUUUAAAUGAAGUUGACUUGCCUGAUACAAAAUUAUCCAUUUUAACUUAAGGUACUGGGAAUUGAACCCAGGGCCUCAAGCAGCCUCUGAGAGAAUGCUCUCCUACUGAGUCACACCCCAGCCCUCUGUAAGACAAUGUAAAAGGAAAGUGCUGUCACCACCACCUGAUUCCAGGACAAAACCCGAUAACUUGCAAGGAUCAUCCUCAUUUCUCCCUCCCUGUGGCUUCUAGCACUAGCCUGCAUUCUGUCCAUAAAGGUUCACACAUGGUC